Molecule: ribosomal RNA, 260 nt
Filed under: uncultured bacterium
Lineage: Bacteria
Description: partial small subunit ribosomal RNA
Rfam family: Bacterial small subunit ribosomal RNA
Source: RNAcentral
AGAACGAACGCUGGCGGCAUGCCUAACACAUGCAAGUCGAGCGAGGCCCCUCCUUCGGGAGGGUGUCCUAGCGGCGAACGGGUGAGUAACACGUGGGCAACCUGCCCUCAGCUCUGGGAUAACCCCGGGAAACCGGGGCUAAUACCGGAUACGACCUCCACGGGCAUCUGCGGGGGUGGAAAGGUUUUUCCGGCUGAGGAUGGGCCCGCUGCCUAUCAGCUAGUUGGUGGGGUGAUGGCCCACCAAGGCGACGACGGGUA